This 370-nucleotide ribosomal RNA is filed under the name Terebella lapidaria. RNAcentral's name for it is "partial 16S ribosomal RNA". It matches the Rfam family "Bacterial large subunit ribosomal RNA", at positions 1959 to 2517 of the family's 2925-position model. The record is from RNAcentral. Lineage: Eukaryota; Metazoa; Annelida; Polychaeta; Terebellida; Terebellidae.
GCGUAAUAAUUCGCCCUUUAAUUGUGGGCUAGUAUGAAUGGACAAACGAAAGAUAAGCUGUCUCCCAUAUAAAAAUAAAAUUUAACCUUCAGGUGAAGAUGCCUGAAUUCUAUUAGAAGACAAGAAGACCCCAUAGAGCUCAGUUUAUUUUUAUUUAAUAACCCACUACUUAAUCCUUAAAGUAAUAUAUUUAAUAAGCUAAACUUAGCUGGGGCGGCUAGGGAAUAUAAUCUUCCACAUACUUAUUAACCAAGGUAAAUAUACCUAAUAACAUUUUAUAUAAUUGACCUUUACCUACUAAAAUCAAAAGAAAAGCUACCUUGGGGAUAACAGAUUAAUCCUUCUUGAGAGUUCACAUUAACAGAAGGGC